This 49-nucleotide transfer RNA is filed under the name Candidatus Uhrbacteria bacterium. Its description in RNAcentral is "tRNA-Ser". It matches the Rfam family "tRNA", at positions 27 to 71 of the family's 71-position model. From Rfam's summary of the family: Transfer RNA (tRNA) molecules are approximately 80 nucleotides in length. Lineage: Bacteria; Candidatus Uhriibacteriota. The record is from RNAcentral.
CUGCUUUGCAAGCAGGGGGUCGAGGGUUCGAAUCCCUCAAGGUCCACCA